AGAGUUUGAUCCUGGCUCAGAACGAACGCUGGCGGCGUGCCUAACACAUGCAAGUCGAACGGGGAUAAGUAGCUUGCUAUUUAUUCUAGUGGCGCACGGGUGAGUAACGCGUAGAUAAUCUGCCUUAGACUCUGGGAUAACAUCUCGAAAGGGGUGCUAAUACCGGAUAAGCCCACGGGGACGUGAGUUCUUGCGGGAAAAGGGGGCCUCUGCAUAUGCUCUUGACCUAAGAUGAGUCUGCGUACCAUUAGCUUGUUGGUAGGGUAAUGGCCUACCAAGGCGACGAUGGUUAGCUGGUCUGAGAGGAUGAUCAGCCACACUGGGACUGAGACACGGCUCAGACUCCUACGGGAGGCAGCAGUGGGGAAUUUUGCGCAAUGGGGGAAACCCUGACGCAGCAACGCCGCGUGAGUGAUGAAGGCUUUCGGGUCGUAAAGCUCUGUCUAGAGGGAAGAAGUGAUAUUCGGUUAAUACCCGGGUUUCUUGACGGUACCUCUGAAGGAAGCACCGGCUAACUCCGUGCCAGCAGCCGCGGUAAUA
Molecule: ribosomal RNA, 540 nt
Filed under: uncultured bacterium
Lineage: Bacteria
Description: bacterial SSU rRNA
Rfam family: Bacterial small subunit ribosomal RNA
Source: RNAcentral